CUACGGGUGGCACCAGUGGGGAAUAUUGCACAAUGGAGGAAACUCUGAUGCAGCAACGCCGCGUGGAGGAUGACACUUUUCGGAGCGUAAACUCCUUUUAUAUAGGAAGAAGAUGACGGUACUAUAUGAAUAAGCGCCGGCUAACUCCGGCCAGCAGCCGCGGUAAUACGGAGUGCGCAAGCGUUACUCGGAAUCACUGGGCGUAAAGAGCGUGUAGGCGGAUUAAAAAGUCAGAAGUGGAAUCCUAUAGCUUAACUAUAGAACUGCUUCUGAAACUCUUAAUCUAGAAUAUGGGAGAGGUAGAUGGAAUUUCUGGUGUAGGGGUAAAAUCCGUAGAGAUCAGAAGGAAUACCGAUGGCGAAGGCGAUCUACUAGAACAUUAUUGACGCUGAGACGCGAAAGCGUGGGGAGCAAACAGGAUUAGAUACCCGCGUAGUC
Molecule: ribosomal RNA, 438 nt
Filed under: uncultured bacterium
Lineage: Bacteria
Description: partial 16S ribosomal RNA
Rfam family: Bacterial small subunit ribosomal RNA
Source: RNAcentral